Molecule: ribosomal RNA, 520 nt
Filed under: uncultured bacterium
Lineage: Bacteria
Description: bacterial SSU rRNA
Rfam family: Bacterial small subunit ribosomal RNA
Source: RNAcentral
UAGUCCACACCGUAAACUAUGUUCACUCGAUGUUGGCUAAAUAUUGUCAGUGUCCAAGCGAAAGCGUUAAGUGAACCACCUGGGGAGUACGCCGGCAACGGUGAAACUCAAAGGAAUUGACGGGGGUCCGCACAAGCGGAGGAACAUGUGGUUUAAUUCGAUGAUACGCGAGGAACCUUACCUGGACUUAAAUGUAGGUUGACAGGACUAGAGAUAGUUUUUUCUUCGGACAAUUUACAAGGUGCUGCAUGGUUGUCGUCAGCUCGUGCCGUGAGGUGUCGGGUUAAGUCCCAUAACGAGCGCAACCCCUAUUCUUAGUUACCAGCACGUAGAGGUGGGGACUCUAAGAAGACUGCCUGGGUAACCAGAGAGGAAGGUGGGGAUGACGUCAAAUCAGCACGGCCCUUACGUCCAGGGCUACACACGUGUUACAAUGGUCGGUACAAAGGGCAGCUACCUGGCGACAGGAUGCUAAUCUCAAAAACCGGCCUCAGUUCGGAUCGGAGUCUGCAACUCGACU